AGCUCCAAUAGCGUAUAUUUAAGUUGUUGCAGUUAAAAAGCUCGUAGUUGGAUUUCGGAUGGGUUAGUCCGGUCUGCCGUUCGGUAUGUACUGGUCGUACCCAUCUUGCUGUCGGGGACGCUUUCUGGCCUUCAUUGGCUGGGACGCGGAGUCGGCGAUGUUACUUUGAAAAAAUUAGAGUGUUCAAAGCAGGCCUAAGCUCUGAAUACAUUAGCAUGGAAUAACGCUAUAGGACUCUGGUCUUAUUGCGUUGGUCUUCGAGACCGGAGUAAUGAUUAAGAGGGACAGUUGGGGGCAUUCGUAUUUCAUUGUCAGAGGUGAAAUUCUUGGAUUUAUGAAAGACGAACUUCUGCGAAAGCAUUUGCCAAGGAUGUUUUCAUUAAUCAAGAACGAAAGUACG
This 400-nucleotide ribosomal RNA is filed under the name phytoplankton environmental sample. RNAcentral describes it as "partial small subunit ribosomal RNA". It matches the Rfam family "Eukaryotic small subunit ribosomal RNA", at positions 587 to 993 of the family's 1831-position model. The record is from RNAcentral.